This 344-nucleotide ribosomal RNA is filed under the name Stenotrophomonas geniculata. Its description in RNAcentral is "bacterial SSU rRNA". It matches the Rfam family "Bacterial small subunit ribosomal RNA", at positions 1012 to 1356 of the family's 1533-position model. Lineage: Bacteria; Pseudomonadati; Pseudomonadota; Gammaproteobacteria; Lysobacterales; Lysobacteraceae. The record is from RNAcentral.
GGGGGCCUUCGGGAACUAGAACACAGGUGCUGCAUUGGCUGUCGUCAGCUCGUGUCAUGAGAUGUUGGGUUAAGUCCCGCAACGAGCGCCACCUUGUCCUUCGUUGCCAGCAGGUAAUGGUGGGAACUCUAAGGAGAGGCCGGUGACAAACCGGAGGAAGGUGGGGAUGACGUCAAGUCAUCAUUGCGCUUCCGGCCAGGGCUACACUCGCACUACAAUGGUAGGGACAGAGAGCUCCAAUCCGGCGACGGUAAGCCAAUCCCUGAAACCCUAUCUCAGUCCUGAUUGGAGUCUGCAACUCGACUCCAUGCAGUUGGAAUCGCUAGUAAUCUCAGAUCCGCAUU